UUGAUUAAACCAGAGGAAUGAAAGUCUAAUUGCAAAAUUUUAGGCAUCAGUCAAGCUAACUGUGGACACCUGGCCCAAUUGGAGGUGCUUCACUGAUGCUGUUGAAACCAUAACUUUUAGGAACUGGCCCCAGCCUCUUCUCCUCCCCUCCCCUCCUCUCUCUCCUGUUCUCCUUCUCUCCUCCGUCUCCUGUCUUUUUCUUGCCUAAACAGCCAUCCAAAUCCCUGAUGACUCAGUGUGAUCGCGUUUCCACAGACAGGAACAGACUUCUCAAAAAGCACAAGAUGGUUGGGUGAAAUGCAAGUGAGGAAAAGAGCAAGGUGGAGUGGGCAGAGACUUUCUGAGCUGGCCAUCUAACUUCACGUCUAAUCAGAGAGUGAAUCAGUUACGUCUGCAAUUAUGUCAACAGCUCAGCAUCGUGACUGCUGCCUGGAACCCACGAUGGCGAGCUGUGAAAGAAAUAGGUUUGGAGUGGAGAGGUGGCGCUUGUGUUUACUGAAAACCUAUCGUGUGCUAGGUCCUGUGUUUACUGGAUACCUACUAUGUGCCAGGCCCUAUGCUUGCUUUUGCAUCUGUUCUCUUCCAAGGCAGGGAUCAGGAUCCUGACUGGGGGACCCUGGUCAGUUUCACCUUUCAGGGUCUUGUUUCUGCA
Molecule: long non-coding RNA, 652 nt
Organism: Bubalus bubalis (water buffalo)
Lineage: Eukaryota; Metazoa; Chordata; Mammalia; Artiodactyla; Bovidae
Exons: 2
Source: RefSeq, a predicted model, not a curated record